GCGCACCUACGGGGCGCAGCAGUGGGGAAUAUUGGGCAAUGGGCGCAAGCCUGACCCAGCAACGCCGCGUGAAGGAAGAAGGCUUUCGGGUUGUAAACUUCUUUUCUCAGGGACGAAGAAAGUGACGGUACCUGAGGAAUAAGCCACGGCUAACUACGUGCCAGCAGCCGCGGUAAUACGUAGGUGGCAAGCGUUAUCCGGAUUUAUUGGGUGUAAAGGGCGUGUAGGCGGGAGGGCAAGUCAGAUGUGAAAACUCCGG
This 259-nucleotide ribosomal RNA is filed under the name uncultured bacterium. Its description in RNAcentral is "partial 16S ribosomal RNA". It matches the Rfam family "Bacterial small subunit ribosomal RNA", at positions 334 to 606 of the family's 1533-position model. The record is from RNAcentral.